This 70-nucleotide transfer RNA is filed under the name Sida crystallina. RNAcentral's name for it is "tRNA-Glu". Lineage: Eukaryota; Metazoa; Arthropoda; Branchiopoda; Diplostraca; Sididae. The record is from RNAcentral.
GCUGUUAUAGUAUAUAUUUAUUACAUUACAUUUUCAUUGUAAAAAUGAACUUAACUUAGUUCUAAUGGUU